This 253-nucleotide ribosomal RNA is filed under the name uncultured bacterium. Its description in RNAcentral is "partial 16S ribosomal RNA". It matches the Rfam family "Bacterial small subunit ribosomal RNA", at positions 524 to 776 of the family's 1533-position model. The record is from RNAcentral.
UACGUAGGGGGCUAGCGUUGUCCGGAAUCAUUGGGCGUAAAGCGCGUGUAGGCGGCCCGAUAAGUCCGCUGUGAAAGUCCAGGGCUCAACCCUGGGAUGCCGGUGGAUACUGUCGGGCUUGAGUACGGAAGAGGCGAGUGGAAUUCCUGGUGUAGCGGUGAAAUGCGCAGAUAUCAGGAGGAACACCAAUUGCGAAGGCAGCUCGCUGGGACGUUACUGACGCUGAGACGCGAAAGCGUGGGGAGCAAACAGG